This 351-nucleotide unclassified non-coding RNA is filed under the name soil metagenome. RNAcentral's name for it is "partial contains 5.8S ribosomal RNA, internal transcribed spacer 2, and large subunit ribosomal RNA". The stretch from base 3 to 120 matches the Rfam family "5.8S ribosomal RNA", at positions 37 to 154 of the family's 154-position model. The record is from RNAcentral.
GGUGAAGAACGCAGCGAAAUGCGAUAAGUAAUGUGAAUUGCAGAAUUCAGUGAAUCAUCGAAUCUUUGAACGCACAUUGCGCCCGCCAGUAUUCUGGCGGGCAUGCCUGUUCGAGCGUCAUUACAACCCUCAGGCCCCCGGGCCUGGCGUUGGGGAUCGGCGGAAGCCCCCUGUGGGCACACGCCGUCCCUCAAAUACAGUGGCGGUCCCGCCGCAGCUUCCAUUGCGUAGUAGCUAACACCUCGCAACUGGAGAGCGGCGCGGCCAUGCCGUAAAACACCCAACUUCUGAAUGUUGACCUCGAAUCAGGUAGGAAUACCCGCUGAACUUAAGCAUAUCAAUAAGCGAGGA